UGCUGUCUGUGACAUCUCUCACAUGCGUACCCAGUUGUUCUGUUGGUUUUGCUUGUUAUCAUCCAUCACCAGAUGAUAACAGAAUAAUUCUGGAGGUACUGAUUGCUUAAUUAAGUGGAGUUCUUUUCUGUUGGUUUUCUAAGGUCCCUGUUUGUAAUUGCAAUGAAGCAAUAAUAUAAUACGUCUUAAUGUUGUGGACUUUGCCACACAUUAUUAAAAUUCAUGAGGUAGUGGUUUAGGUGAUAUUAGAAGAAUGUUCUUGCGCAGAGAUGUUGUAUACUGAAACAUAAUUAAAUAAAACAGCAAGUCUUUAAAGUUAACUGUUGUACUUCAUUUGGCCAUUUAACAAUAACUUUCAAAUAGAACUGUGGAUUGCUGAGAGCAGCCUGAUUUUAAAACAAAAGCACCCCUUUGGAAAUGGAUACCAAAAAGUUGUAAUUGUAGAGUCAUAGAAUGGUUUGGGUUGGAGGGGACCUAAAAGACCGUCCAGUUCCAACCCCUACUGUGGGCAGGGACACCUCUCACUUCAUCGGGUUGCUCAGGACUGUCUGCGCUCAAAACUCCUUCCUUUCCAGGGAAGGGGCAUAGAUAAGAAGAAUAAUUUUGUCUUUUAUAAGCAAUUAUAAAUCUAUGAAGGUGUCAUUCUUAACCUGCUGUGAUAAUGUUUGUUAAAAAUGAACUCUGUCCUCUGUAAACUGUAGUGAUUUUCCCAAACCUGAAAAUAUUUUCCUCAAAAUAAUGAAAACUGUAGCAGAGUGAAAUAUAGUGAAUUCUACAAAAUUAAGUGGGUCUUGCCUGUGUUCUGAGGAAAUGUAUUUACUCUUUUACUUGUUUAACAUUGUGGCAGGUCGUGUGGUUAACAGCGAAGAACCACACAGAAAUGAGUGAUCAGCAGAUGAAUAGGACAACACAACCUUUCACCUCACUGUGGACGUGUGUACUCAAGGGAAGUUUUUACUUAUCAGAGUGCAAACCAGAGCCAAAAGACUGUCAAGUAUGAAGCACAAUGGUCGUGAAGACACUUUGCUGUCAUGAAGUGGAGAAGAGUCAUGGCUGUCAUUCUACCAAUGGCAAUCUGAAAACAGAGAAGCUCAACUCCUUUGAUUUGGCUCAAACAACUUUCUGAUGUGCACAGAGGAGGUUUGUGAAAUGAGGAGGGAAGACCAUCUAUCAUAAACCCCAGGCUACUGUCCAAUUAACAAGGCCAUCCUGUGUCUGAGAAACUGUUGAAUCUGGCCUUGGGCCAUAAUUCAUUCUUAUUAGAGCCAAUAAUUUCCAUCAUUAACAUAGUGGCUUCUCCUGGCCUACACUGAGCAGAUAGAUAGGCUCUAGAGAAACUUUAACAUGUAAAAAGCCCUGGCAGAUACUGCCCUGGUCAUAGGUGGGUAAUCCUCAACAUACCUCAACAAAGAGGGUGAAAGAGAGAGAAGUAUCGUUUUAUUAGUGUAGCGACACAAGUAGUCCAGUUUUCUUAAAUUCUUCCUGAAGUUCCAAGAUGGCAGCCUCAAGGCUAAUUUUAGCUGAAGUCAACUUAUUUUCUCUAGGUCAGAGAAAAGUUCUGUGAAAUUCAGGGCA
Long non-coding RNA from Numida meleagris (helmeted guineafowl), 1575 nucleotides. RefSeq lists it as uncharacterized. The transcript has 3 exons. NCBI's taxonomy places the organism in Eukaryota, Metazoa, Chordata, Aves, Galliformes, Numididae. The record is from RefSeq and is a predicted model, not a curated record.